Molecule: long non-coding RNA, 176 nt
Organism: Scaptodrosophila lebanonensis
Lineage: Eukaryota; Metazoa; Arthropoda; Insecta; Diptera; Drosophilidae
Exons: 3
Source: RefSeq, a predicted model, not a curated record
UCUAUAUGGCAGUUUAAGGAUUUGGAUACCCUGUACCCGAUGGGAAAAAGAGUAUACCAGCCCGAAGAUACGAAUCGAUGUCUGUCUGGAUGACCGCAUGGAUUUCGGAGACGGCUGAGCCUUCAUCAUUGACCACACUUGAAUUUUUUCAAUACAGUCCACAUUUCCAAAGAUGU